RNAcentral lists this ribosomal RNA (468 nucleotides) under uncultured bacterium. RNAcentral's name for it is "partial 16S ribosomal RNA". It matches the Rfam family "Bacterial small subunit ribosomal RNA", at positions 28 to 507 of the family's 1533-position model. The record is from RNAcentral.
GACGAACGCUGGCGGCGUGCUUAACACAUGCAAGUCGAACGGAAAGGCCCUGCUUUUGUGGGGUGCUCGGGUGGCGAACGGGUGAGUAACACGUGAGUAACCUGCCCUUGACUUUGGGAUAACUUCAGGAAACUGGGGCUAAUACCGGAUAGGAGCUCCUGCUGCAUGGUGGGGGUUGGAAAGUUUCGGCGGUUGGGGAUGGACUCGCGGCUUAUCAGCUUGUUGGUGGGGUAGUGGCUUACCAAGGCUUUGACGGGUAGCCGGCCUGAGCGGGUGACCGGCCACAUUGGGACUGAGGUACGGCCCAGACUCCUACGGGAGGCAGCGGGGGGGAAUAUUGCACAAUGGGCGGAAGCCUGAUGCAGCAACGCCGCGUGCGGGAUGACGGCCUUCGGGUUGUAAACCGCUUUCGCCUGUGACGAAGCGUGAGUGACGGUAAUGGGUAAAGAAGCACCGGCUAACUACGUG